RNAcentral lists this transfer RNA (85 nucleotides) under Agaribacillus aureus. Its description in RNAcentral is "tRNA-Leu". It matches the Rfam family "tRNA". Rfam says of the family: Transfer RNA (tRNA) molecules are approximately 80 nucleotides in length. Their secondary structure includes four short double-helical elements and three loops (D, anti-codon, and T loops). Further hydrogen bonds mediate the characteristic L-shaped molecular structure. tRNAs have two regions of fundamental functional importance: the anti-codon, which is responsible for specific mRNA codon recognition, and the 3' end, to which the tRNAs corresponding amino acid is attached (by aminoacyl-tRNA synthetases). tRNAs cope with the degeneracy of the genetic code in two manners: having more than one tRNA (with a specific anti-codon) for a particular amino acid; and 'wobble' base-pairing, i.e. permitting non-standard base-pairing at the 3rd anti-codon position. The record is from RNAcentral. Lineage: Bacteria; Pseudomonadati; Bacteroidota; Cytophagia; Cytophagales; Splendidivirgaceae.
GCGCACGUGGCGGAAUUGGUAGACGCGCCAGGUUCAGGACCUGGUGCCCUUUUUGGGCGUGGAGGUUCGAGUCCUCUUGUGCGCA